This 223-nucleotide long non-coding RNA is filed under the name Penaeus japonicus. Its description in RNAcentral is "uncharacterized LOC122260975". The record is from RNAcentral. Lineage: Eukaryota; Metazoa; Arthropoda; Malacostraca; Decapoda; Penaeidae.
UCUCACUUGACUUCCAAAGCCACAGCAAUGUCUUUCAGGACCGUUAUUUACUUCACCUUGAUGGUGGGCGCCCUUGCUGAAUCUGGUCCAAGAUACACUCCUCCUGCCCCAUCGUACCACGCUCCUGCACCGGCCCCCUCGGGGCCAGCACAGUACGACUUCAAUUAUGCUGUGCAAGAUAAUGUUGGAAACGACUUCGGCCACCAAGAAAACCGAAAUGGGU